GAUGAACGCUGGCGGCGUGCUUAACACAUGCAAGUCGAACGAUGAAGCCCAGCUUGCUGGGUGGAUUAGUGGCGAACGGGUGAGUAACACGUGAGUAACCUGCCCUUAACUCUGGGAUAAGCCUGGGAAACUGGGUCUAAUACCGGAUAGGAGCGUCCACCGCAUGGUGGGUGUUGGAAAGAUUUAUCGGUUUUGGAUGGACUCGCGGCCUAUCAGCUUGUUGGUGAGGUAAUGGCUCACCAAGGCGACGACGGGUAGCCGGCCUGAGAGGGUGACCGGCCACACUGGGACUGAGACACGGCCCAGACUCCUACGGGAGGCAGCAGUAGGGAAUCUUCCGCAAUGGGCGAAAGCCUGACGGAGCAACGCCGCGUGAGUGAAGAAGGUCUUCGGAUCGUAAAACUCUGUUAUUAGGGAAGAACAAAUGUGUAAGUAACUAUGCACGUCUUGACGGUACCUAAUCAGAAAGCCACGGCUAACUACGUG
Molecule: ribosomal RNA, 486 nt
Filed under: uncultured bacterium
Lineage: Bacteria
Description: partial 16S ribosomal RNA
Rfam family: Bacterial small subunit ribosomal RNA
Source: RNAcentral